GGACGAACGCUGGCGGCGUGCCUAAUACAUGCAAGUCGAGCGAACAUUUGAGAGCUUGCUCUCAAAUGUUAGCGGCGGACGGGUGAGUAACACGUGGGCAACCUGCCUAUAAGACUGGGAUAACUUCGGGAAACCGGAGCUAAUACCGGAUAAUUCACAUCUACUCAUGUAGAUGUGCUGAAAGACGGUUUACGCUGUCACUUAUAGAUGGGCCCGCGGCGCAUUAGCUAGUUGGUGAGGUAACGGCUCACCAAGGCAACGAUGCGUAGCCGACCUGAGAGGGUGAUCGGCCACACUGGGACUGAGACACGGCCCAGACUCCUACGGGAGCAGCAGUAGGAAUCUUCCGCAAUGGACGAAAGUCUGACGGAGCAACGCCG
This 380-nucleotide ribosomal RNA is filed under the name uncultured bacterium. Its description in RNAcentral is "bacterial SSU rRNA". It matches the Rfam family "Bacterial small subunit ribosomal RNA", at positions 27 to 399 of the family's 1533-position model. The record is from RNAcentral.